UACAGAGGUCCCAAGCGUUGUUCGGAUUCACUGGGCGUAAAGGGUGCGUAGGCGGUUUUGUAAGUCUUGUGUGAAAUCUUCAGGCUCAACUUGAAGACUGCACGAGAAACUGCAGGGCUUGAGUGUGGGAGAGGUGAGUGGAAUUCCUGGUGUAGCGGUGAAAUGCGUAGAUAUCAGGAGGAACACCUGUGGCGAAAGCGGCUCACUGGACCACAACUGACGCUGAUGCACGAAAGCUAGGGGAGCAAACAGG
Molecule: ribosomal RNA, 253 nt
Filed under: uncultured bacterium
Lineage: Bacteria
Description: partial 16S ribosomal RNA
Rfam family: Bacterial small subunit ribosomal RNA
Source: RNAcentral